GUGAAUCAUCGAAUUUUUGAACACAAAUUGCACUCUUUGGUAUUCCGAAGAGUAUGCUUGUUUGAGGGUUGUUUCAAUCAAAUCGUUUUUUUAAUAACGGAUUUGAGUUUUCUAUGGUUUUAUGAUUUUGGUAACUUUAAAUUUAUCUUAAUGAUAUAUUUGGUAUGAUAUCGGAACUGGUUAUAUUAUUACUAUUUGUGAGUUUCGUUAACAAUCGAUUACCUGUCGUUAUGUCGUAUCAUUGGCUCAAUCCUUUAGAUUGGAUCGUAUGAUACAAUAUUCUUUCAGCAU
This 291-nucleotide unclassified non-coding RNA is filed under the name Acaulospora sp. Its description in RNAcentral is "partial contains 5.8S ribosomal RNA and internal transcribed spacer 2". The stretch from base 1 to 71 matches the Rfam family "5.8S ribosomal RNA", at positions 84 to 154 of the family's 154-position model. The record is from RNAcentral. Lineage: Eukaryota; Fungi; Glomeromycota; Glomeromycetes; Diversisporales; Acaulosporaceae.